GUCUACAGCCAUGCCACCCUGAACAAGCCCGAUGUCUGAUCUCAGAAGCUAAGCAGGGUCGGAACUGGUUAGUACUUGGAUGGGAGACCACCUAGAAAAGACCAGGUGCUGUAGGCA
RNAcentral lists this ribosomal RNA (117 nucleotides) under Pteropus alecto (black flying fox). Lineage: Eukaryota; Metazoa; Chordata; Mammalia; Chiroptera; Pteropodidae. RNAcentral also lists the same sequence under 1 other name. The record is from RNAcentral.